UAAUAAAUUAUUUUUUUACUGGCAACUAAAAUGGACUGCAAACGGUCACGGUGGCGCCACUUUCGUCUAACGGCUUUUUUAAAAUAGCGCGCACCGUGACAGUUGGCCAUUCCAUUUUCGUUCGUCGAGCACACAAGAUCUCUCCUGAUUACUGUACUUUGUUAUACUGGUGAAAUAUAUAGUGCUGCUAGUUUAAAGUGUGAUCAUUGUAAAAUAACCGAAAUAACACCAAAAAAAUGGAUAAGCCAACUACGAUUUACGAUCCCGCGUGCCCAACCGAAUCAGCGCGUCGGUCCUACACUCGGGAUAGGCGCCAAUCGUCGCAGGGGCCGCGCAGUCACGUUGUCAAUACGUCGCGCCACAGCGAGUCGCAUAGUCGUGACAACAAUGGGCCGCGCCGUUCCCGGACACGCAGUCGUGUGGACAGCGCACCGCACCACCACAGAUCGCGCAGUCGCCUGGACAGCGCACCGCGUCACCACAGGUCGCGCAGUCGCCUGGAUAGCGCGCCGCGCCACCACAGGUCGCGCAGUCGCUUGAGCAGCGCGCCGAGUCACCACAGAUCGCGCAGUCGUAAUGUCAGCGCGCCGCGCCACCACAGGUCACGCAGCCGCGUUGACAGCACGCCGCACCACCACAGAUCGAGCAGUCGCAUUGACGACGCACCGCAUAGGCACCGGUCACGCAGCUAUAGCAACGGCCGAGCGAAGUCUAAAAUGCGAAUCAAGAAUCCAGUUCGUGCAGAAGGCGCAUAUAACGUUAAAAUAACCAUUGUUGUAGAACAUGUAAAAGCAGAUAAUGAUAUAGAUUUCCAGAGAAGGUAAUUAUGAGUUGAUUUUGUAUUUUGAUGUUAAGUUUAAAAUUGUUACAUUUAUAUUUAAUAAGCUUGUAUUGUUUUCAUGCGUACGAGGACGUACUUAUUUAAGGAUGGCCGACUGUGAACGAUUUUUGUAAUUAAAUCCAUUAGGUAAUAUAUUUUUAAUAUAAGUCGUAAAAUAAUAAAUUAUUUUUUUACUGGCAACUAAAAUGGACUGCAAACGGUCACGGUGGCGCCACUUUCGUCUAACGGCUUUUUUAAAAUAGCGCGCACCGUGACAGUUGGCCAUUCCAUUUUCGUUCGUCGAGCACACAAGAUCUCUCCUGAUUACUGUACUUUGUUAUACUGGUGAAAUAUAUAGUGCUGCUAGUUUAAAGUGUGAUCAUUGUAAAAUAACCGAAAUAACACCAAAGUGAGUAUCCUAACCUAAUUGUUUUAUUUGCUUU
Long non-coding RNA from Helicoverpa armigera (cotton bollworm), 1263 nucleotides. RefSeq lists it as uncharacterized. The transcript has 3 exons. Lineage: Eukaryota; Metazoa; Arthropoda; Insecta; Lepidoptera; Noctuidae. The record is from RefSeq and is a predicted model, not a curated record.